UACGUAGGGGGCAAGCGUUGUCCGGAUUUAUUGGGCGUAAAGAGCGUGUAGGCGGCCAUGCAGGUCAGCUGUGAAAACUCGAGGCUCAACCUCGAGACGUCGGUUGAAACCGUAUGGCUAGAGUCCGGAAGAGGAGAGUGGAAUUCCCGGUGUAGCGGUGAAAUGCGCAGAUAUCGGGAAGAACACCUAUGGCGAAGGCAGCUCUCUGGGACGGUACUGACGCUGAGACGCGAAAGCGUGGGGAGCAAACCGG
RNAcentral lists this ribosomal RNA (253 nucleotides) under uncultured bacterium. RNAcentral's name for it is "partial 16S ribosomal RNA". It matches the Rfam family "Bacterial small subunit ribosomal RNA", at positions 524 to 776 of the family's 1533-position model. The record is from RNAcentral.